GCACUCCUCUUCCUCCUAGUGCGGUGGUGGCGAUGGCGCUUUCUUGCCUUUCCUAGCGUACUAUUGUUUCCCUCCCUACGCACCUUGCCAUGGCAUGGUCUCCUUGGAGCAAGAGGAACACUUGGUCAAAGUCUAGACGCACUUAGCAUCAUGGAAUCCAGUGGGCCCGGGGCCACGAAGGUCCACUGCUCAGGUUAUAAAAACCCUAAAUCCGUAGUCUCUGAACCCCUCCUUCUUCCUUUCCUUGGCACUCCUCUUCCUCGAAGCGUGGUGAUGAUGGCGGCGGAGGCGCUUGCUUGCCUUCCCUAA
This 309-nucleotide long non-coding RNA is filed under the name Oryza sativa Indica Group (long-grained rice). RNAcentral describes it as "lncRNA OsMH63_03G021810". Lineage: Eukaryota; Viridiplantae; Streptophyta; Magnoliopsida; Poales; Poaceae. The record is from RNAcentral.